Molecule: ribosomal RNA, 538 nt
Filed under: uncultured bacterium
Lineage: Bacteria
Description: bacterial SSU rRNA
Rfam family: Bacterial small subunit ribosomal RNA
Source: RNAcentral
UGAGGAAUAUUGGUCAAUGGGCGCAAGCCUGAACCAGCCAAGUAGCGUGCAGGAAGACGGCCCUAUGGGUUGUAAACUGCUUUUAUACGAGAAUAAUUUGAUGCACGUGUGCGUUAUUGCAUGUAUCGUAUGAAUAAGGACCGGCUAAUUCCGUGCCAGCAGCCGCGGUAAUACGGAAGGUCCAGGCGUUAUCCGGAUUUAUUGGGUUUGAAGGGAGUGUAGGCGGUUUGUUAAGCGUGUUGUGAAAUUUAGAUGCUCAACAUUUAACUUGCAGCGCGAACUGUCAGACUUGAGUACACGCAACGUAUGCGGAAUUCAUGGUGUAGCGGUGAAAUGCUUAGAUAUCAUGAAGAACUCCGAUUGCGAAGGCAGCAUACGGGAGUGUAACUGACGCUUAAGCUCGAAGGUGCGGGUAUCGAACAGGAUUAGAUACCCUGGUAGUCCGCACAGUAAACGAUGGAUGCCCGCUGUUAGCGCCUGGCGUUAGCGGCUAAGCGAAAGCAUUAAGCAUCCCACCUGGGGAGUACGCCGGCNCGGU